UCUCAGACUCAACUCUCUCUUGUCUCGCGAACGAGACGGUGGCGGUGGUUCUCUCCAAUCCCUCCUCCGCCGUAAAUAAACAAUCAACUCACCAUCUCCCUCUCAGAUCCUCCGUCUAUCGCCGUCCAUCAUCUCCCUAAGUCUAAAACUAAUAGAAACAAAACCCUAAGAUCCUCAUCGUACGAUUACAAGGUGAAGGUGGCGAAUCAGAGCUUGAUACCUUGGGGUUAUGAAUCGGAACGGCUCAUUUUGCAUCGCGACAUGAAGAAGAGUUGAAGCAAAUGGCAUAAAGAGGAAGUUCGAAGGGGUUACCUGGUAUGAAGAUCGAUAUCGGAAGAACAGAAGUCCAGAGGAGAAGUCCCGAUGCUCUUGAAUGCGAAAUAAACGCAAAGGAUGAAGCCACUCCUCAGGCACGAAUUCAGGUACUCUCGUUUUCACCAAUUCUUCUUCUUCUUCUUCUUUCAAAGCCUCUUUCUUUGAGAUGUUGUUUCUGUGUAUCGUGAGGACUGAGAGGUUGAGCACGAGCUUGUUGAGGCUCUAAUGUUGAGCUUCAACAGCUUUGUGGAUGUGCGCGUAGUAAGGGCGAGGGUGAUGAAUUUGCAGAAAGUGUGAGGUUGGUGAUGAAUUGCAGGUGGUGAAGAAGUGAAGUUGUGUGUGAAAUGAUGUCUAGGUUGAUGAGGUGAAGGAGAAUUGAAGAUUGUGAAUGAAGAUGGAUCAAGAGAAGUGAAGAAGGAAUCCAGGUUCUGAUUUAUAGGAAGUGGAGGUUAUUGAAUCAGGCUGCAGUAUGUUUCCCAAUGUGGCACACCGCAAGAGGUUGGAUGUGAUCGGUGGGAUAAAAUGAGCUAAAUGACGUAUUGCCGAUACAACAAGGGCAGCUUCUGUGGAACAUGGCUUGGAUAUUUGUGUGUGAAUCGGCAGCAAGGCUUUGUUAUCUGAGAUGUUUUGAUUGCUCAGGUGAUCAAAUCGACUAUGCGGCAUGGUUUGGAACCGAUUUAGGCAUUUGAAGAUGGAUGUCUGCUUGAAUUUCUGUUGACAGUUAGAGUCAAAAGCUGUUAGUCUUUUUUUUGGAUUAGUACUGGUGUAUAUGCAGGUUUGAAUUAAAUGGCUGGACAGUGUUUAGGCAGCUUGAAAUGGGUGCAGGGCUGUUAUGGUUUUUCUUGUUUGAACUGUGGUUCUGAGAUGAUGAUGAUGUUUUGAGAAAUAUAGCAUGAAGAUUGGAGAAAGAACUUGUAAGCAUUAUGCAAGGCAAAACAAAUUUGAAGCAAGGUCUAUCAAAGUGAAAGCAAAUGAAGCAGCUUGGAAGAAAUGGAGAAAGAGAAGGAUAGGUUUUAGGAAGUGUUGUAUAUUUUUCGGUGUAAUUUUUCUUUGUACUUUUUGACGUGAAUGUCUGGGUGUAAUGACUCACAAUUGGUUUUUUUGUGUAAUGGAUGAACUUUGAAUGUUGAUAGCAUU
Vicia villosa (hairy vetch) is the source of this 1452-nucleotide long non-coding RNA. RefSeq lists it as uncharacterized. The record is from RefSeq and is a predicted model, not a curated record. The transcript is spliced from 4 exons. Lineage: Eukaryota; Viridiplantae; Streptophyta; Magnoliopsida; Fabales; Fabaceae.